Molecule: ribosomal RNA, 253 nt
Filed under: uncultured bacterium
Lineage: Bacteria
Description: partial 16S ribosomal RNA
Rfam family: Bacterial small subunit ribosomal RNA
Source: RNAcentral
UACGUGAGGGGCGAACGUUGUUCGGUGUCACUGGGCUUAAAGGGCGCGUAGGUGGCUGCGUAAGUAAGGUGUGAAAGCCCUCGGCUUACCCGGGGAAUUGCGCCUUAUACUGCGCGGCUUGAGGAUUUCAGGGGAAGGGGGAACUCCAGGUGUAGCGGUGAAAUGCGCAGAUAUCUGGGGGAAGGCCGGCGGCGAAGGCGGCAUCCUGGACCGACAUUGACGCUGAACGGCGAAAGCUAGGGGAGCAAACGGG